This 459-nucleotide ribosomal RNA is filed under the name uncultured bacterium. RNAcentral's name for it is "partial 16S ribosomal RNA". It matches the Rfam family "Bacterial small subunit ribosomal RNA", at positions 338 to 795 of the family's 1533-position model. The record is from RNAcentral.
CCUACGGGUGGCUGCAGUGAGGAAUAUUGGUCAAUGGCCGGAAGGCUGAACCAGCCAAGCCGCGUGAAGGACGAAGGUGCCAAGCAUUGUAAACUUCUUUUGUCAAGGGACAAAAUCAGGCUCGAGAGCCUGACCGAGGGUAUUUGAAGAAAAAGCAUCGGCAAACUCCGUGCCAGCAGCCGCGGUAAUACGCAGGAUGCGAGCGUUAUCCGGUGUUAUUGUGUUUAAAGGGUGUGUAGGCGGGCUGUUAAGUCCGCGGUAAAAGCCCGGGGCUCAACCCCGGAGAGCCGUUGAAACUGGCUGUCUUGAGAUGUCGAGGGGUAUGCGGAAUGCGCAGUGUAGCGGUGAAAUGCUUAGAUAUUGCGCAGAACUCCGAUGGCGAAGGCAGCAGACCGGCGGCGAUCUGACGCUGAGGCACGAAAGCGUGGGUAUCGAACAGGAUUAGAUACCCGAGUAGUC